GUGGGGAAUAUUGCACAAUGGGGGAAACCCUGAUGCAGCAACGCCGCGUGAAGGAAGAAGUAUUUCGGUAUGUAAACUUCUAUCAGCAGGGAAGAAAAUGACGGUACCUGACUAAGAAGCCCCGGCUAACUACGUGCCAGCAGCCGCGGUAAUACGUAGGGGGCAAGCGUUAUCCGGAUUUACUGGGUGUAAAGGGAGCGUAGGUGGUAUGGCAAGUCAGAUGUGAAAGCCCGGGGCUCAACCCCGGGACUGCAUUUGAAACUGUCAGACUAGAGUGCAGGAGAGGUAAGUGGAAUUCCUAGUGUAGCGGUGAAAUGCGUAGAUAUUAGGAGGAACACCAGUGGCGAAGGCGGCUUACUGGACUGUAACUGACACUGAGGCUCGAAAGCGUGGGGAGCAAACAGGAUUAGAUACCCUUGUAGUCC
RNAcentral lists this ribosomal RNA (425 nucleotides) under uncultured bacterium. RNAcentral's name for it is "partial 16S ribosomal RNA". It matches the Rfam family "Bacterial small subunit ribosomal RNA", at positions 354 to 796 of the family's 1533-position model. The record is from RNAcentral.